CCUACGGGGGGCAGCAGUGAGGAAUAUUGGUCAAUGGCCGGGAGGCUGAACCAGCCAAGUCGCGUGAGGGAAGACGGCCCUACGGGUUGUAAACCUCUUUUGUCAGGGAGUAAGGUGCAGGUCGGGACCUGCUGUGAGAGUACCUGAAGAAUAAGCAUCGGCUAACUCCGUGCCAGCAGCCGCGGUAAUACGGAGGAUGCGAGCGUUAUCCGGAUUUAUUGGGUUUAAGGGGUGCGUGGGGGGGCUGUUAAGUUAGCGGGAAAAGCCCGGGGCUCAACCCCGGACCGCCGUUGAUACUGGCAGUCUCGAGUGGGAGAGAAGUAGGCGGAAUGCGCGGUGUAGCGGUGAAAUGCAUAGAUAUCGCGCAGAACACCGAUUGCGAAGGCAGCAUGCCGGCUCCACACUGACGCUGAGGCACGAAAGCGUGGGUAUCGAACAGGAUUAGAUACCCUUGUAGUC
RNAcentral lists this ribosomal RNA (459 nucleotides) under uncultured bacterium. Its description in RNAcentral is "partial 16S ribosomal RNA". It matches the Rfam family "Bacterial small subunit ribosomal RNA", at positions 338 to 795 of the family's 1533-position model. The record is from RNAcentral.